AACAUAUGUAGUACACCUCUUAAAAUGAAAAGGUAAAUCCAUAAUAGCACUGAACUAAAUUCUUAAGAACAGUAUAGAGUGGUGAUAUUUAUGCAAUGCAUCAAGCUGACUGCUGCUAGCGCGCUACGUCUUUAGCUUCAUGAACUAUGAUAAUGGACAAAGGCCAGAAUAAAUAGGACCGCAAAAACAUCGCACCACAUAAAACAGCCAGUCCAGUCAUAUGGUGACCACGGUUACUUCUUAAUCUUCUCUAUGCAUAUAGAAAAACUAGGCAUUGUAAGUAACUAAAACUGUAGCUACUGCUGGCCUGCUGCUGAUAAUGUUUAGCCAGGAGAAGCAGUCAUAUUAUGACUUGCUAGUAGUGUACUAAAACUUGGAACAUCUGCUUCACUCAUCACCCAAUCCGGCCCUCGCCUUCAAAUGUAGCUUGAAGUCCAUAAUGUCACCCUUCCACCGUGUCACAGUUUUAUUUUCACAUACCCAUAUCUCAUG
Molecule: unclassified non-coding RNA, 492 nt
Filed under: Hevea brasiliensis (rubber tree)
Lineage: Eukaryota; Viridiplantae; Streptophyta; Magnoliopsida; Malpighiales; Euphorbiaceae
Source: RNAcentral